GAUCGCAUCAUAUUAUAAUCAUUUCGGUGAUUGGCGAUAGAUCAUUCAAGUUUCUGACCUAUCAGCUUUCGACGGUAGUGUAUUGGACUACCGUGGCAGUGACGGGUAACGGGGAAUUAGGGUUCGAUUCCGGAGAGGGAGCCUGAGAAACGGCUACCACAUCUAAGGAAGGCAGCAGGCGCGCAAAUUACCCAAUCCUGACUCAGGGAGGUAGUGACAAGAAAUAACAACACUGGAAAUUGUAUUUCUAGUGAUUGGAAUGAUGGGAAUCCAAACCCCUUUCAGAGUAACAAUUGGAGGGCAAGUCUGGUGCCAGCAGCCGCGGUAAUUCCAGCUCCAAUAGCGUAUAUUAAAGUUGUUGCAGUUAAAAAGCUCGUAGUUGGAUAUCUGCUGGAAGCAAUCAGUCCGCCCUUUUCGUAAGGGUGUGCACUUGAUGAAUUCUGGCAUGAUUUCAUCCUAAUAAUAAUAUAUUAUUAUAUUAGGUUGAUUCCUAGUAUAAUAAUAUUUAUUAUUAUGGGGAUGACAGUUACUUUGAGAAAAUUAGAGUGUUUGAAGCAGGCUUUUGUUGCCUUGAAUACUGCAGCAUGGAAUAACAAUAUAGGAUUUCGGUUCUAUUAUUUUGUUGGUUUUUUCUGUAGGACUGAAAUAAUGAUUAAUAGGGACAGUUGGGGGCAUUCGUAUUUAACUGUCAGAGGUGAAAUUCUUAGAUUUGUUAAAGACGAACUACUGCGAAAGCAUUUGCCAAAGAUGUUUUCAUUAAUCAAGAACGAAAGUUAGGGGCUCGAAGACGAUCAGAUACCGUCGUAGUCUUAACCAUAAACUAUGCCGACUAGAGAUAGGAAAAUGUCACAUUGUUGACUUCUCCUGCA
RNAcentral lists this ribosomal RNA (869 nucleotides) under Sarcocystis gigantea. Its description in RNAcentral is "SSU rRNA". It matches the Rfam family "Eukaryotic small subunit ribosomal RNA", at positions 260 to 1085 of the family's 1831-position model. Lineage: Eukaryota; Apicomplexa; Conoidasida; Eucoccidiorida; Sarcocystidae. The record is from RNAcentral.